This 468-nucleotide ribosomal RNA is filed under the name uncultured bacterium. RNAcentral describes it as "partial 16S ribosomal RNA". It matches the Rfam family "Bacterial small subunit ribosomal RNA", at positions 28 to 507 of the family's 1533-position model. The record is from RNAcentral.
GACGAACGCUGGCGGCGUGCUUAACACAUGCAAGUCGAACGGAAAGGCCCUGCUUUUGUGGGGUGCUCGAGUGGCGAACGGGUGAGUAACACGUGAGUAACCUGCCCUUGACUUUGGGAUAACUUCAGGAAACUGGGGCUAAUACCGGAUAGGAGCUCCUGCUGCAUGGUGGGGGUUGGAAAGUUUCGGCGGUUGGGGAUGGACUCGCGGCUUAUCAGCUUGUUGGUGGGGUAGUGGCUUACCAAGGCUUUGACGGGUAGCCGGCCUGAGAGGGUGACCGGACACAUUGGGCCUGAGAUACGGCCCAGACUCCUACGGGAGGCAGCAGUGGGGAAUAUUGCACAAUGGGCGGAAGCCGUAUGCAGCAACGCCGCGUGCGGGAUGACGGCCUUCGGGUUGUAACCCGCUUUCGCCUGUGACGAAGCGUGAGUGACGGUAAUGGGUAAAGAAGCACCGGCUAACUACGUG